GGGUACAGCUCAGUGGUAGAGCACAUGCUUAGUGUGUAUGAGGUCUUGGGUUCAAUCUCCAGUACCUCCA
Molecule: transfer RNA, 70 nt
Filed under: Camelus bactrianus (Bactrian camel)
Lineage: Eukaryota; Metazoa; Chordata; Mammalia; Artiodactyla; Camelidae
Also listed under: 1 other name
Rfam family: tRNA
About the family: Transfer RNA (tRNA) molecules are approximately 80 nucleotides in length. Their secondary structure includes four short double-helical elements and three loops (D, anti-codon, and T loops).
Source: Rfam by way of RNAcentral